GCACUGCCUUUAACAAUACAUAUCCUCAAAUUGGAAGGCUACAGAGGAAAUGAGCAUGGCCCCUGCACAAGAAUGACAUACAAAUCUUGAAGUGUCCCUUAUUAAA
Small nuclear RNA from Trichosurus vulpecula (common brushtail), 106 nucleotides. NCBI's taxonomy places the organism in Eukaryota, Metazoa, Chordata, Mammalia, Diprotodontia, Phalangeridae. The record is from RefSeq and is a predicted model, not a curated record.